Amphiprion ocellaris (clown anemonefish) is the source of this 595-nucleotide long non-coding RNA. NCBI's taxonomy places the organism in Eukaryota, Metazoa, Chordata, Actinopteri, Pomacentridae. The record is from Ensembl.
AGGUGGAAGCUGAAUUAGUGAGGAUGACUCCUGCUCCUGUCAUCUCUAAGCUCCUCACACAUCUUUACCUGCACAUGAGGAAAAUCACUCCUGUAGAAUGCAGAUGUUCAGAGGGAGAUGAUGCCACAUCUGGUCCAGCUGAUGGAAGGUCUUGAAGUUCUCUGACUGGCCUCGACUGAAGAUGGUCGUCUCACUGGAUUUAAGUUUUUCUGUUUCUUCUCUGGAGAUGCACAAUGAGGGACGUCUGCAGAGACUGAGAAAGAGUCUCACCACAUCCUGACAUGAGGAAAAAGACUUUAUUGAAGACUACAAUGAGAAAAACUAUCAGACAGCAGACGGCUGCAUUCAAGGUGAGCUCUGAACAUUUGAUCUGGAACAGGAAUUCAAUAACGGCAGCAUGAGCUUCAUUUCAGUCUGUAGCUGCUGAAUUCAUGGAUGAAUCAUCUGGCACUAGAGAGGAAGACCAUCAAACAUCCACGUCAGCUGAUGGAGGUCCAAGAGUCUCACCAAACAACCUACAGAGUGAAGACCUCGAAUGUGAUUGGACGGCCUCCUAUUCAGCCACAUGUGUGAACAAAUGCCUCUAAGCUGAUUU